This 338-nucleotide ribosomal RNA is filed under the name uncultured Glomus. Its description in RNAcentral is "SSU rRNA". It matches the Rfam family "Eukaryotic small subunit ribosomal RNA", at positions 569 to 912 of the family's 1831-position model. The record is from RNAcentral. Lineage: Eukaryota; Fungi; Glomeromycota; Glomeromycetes; Glomerales; Glomeraceae.
AGCAGCCGCGGUAAUUCCAGCUCCAAUAGCGUAUAUUAAAGUUGUUGCAGUUAAAAAGCUCGUAGUUGAAUUUCGGGGUUAAUAAGUUGGUCAUACCUAUGGUAUGUACUGGCUUCAUUGAUUCCUACCUCUUGACGAACUGUGAUGCCAUUAAUUUGGUGUUGCAAGGAAUCAGGACUGUUACCUUGAAAAAUUAGAGUGUUUAAAGCAGGCUUACGCUUGAAUACAUUAGCAUGGAAUAAUGAAAUAGGACGUUUGAUUCUAUUUUGUUGGUUUCUAGGAUCGACGUAAUGAUUAAUAGGGAUAGUUGGGGGCAUUAGUAUUCAAUUGUCAGAGGU